Molecule: ribosomal RNA, 447 nt
Filed under: uncultured bacterium
Lineage: Bacteria
Description: bacterial SSU rRNA
Rfam family: Bacterial small subunit ribosomal RNA
Source: RNAcentral
GCCAGACUCCUACGGGAGGCAGCAGUGGGGAAUAUUGCACAAUGGGGGAAACCCUGAUGCAGCGACGCCGCGUGAGUGAAGAAGUAUCUCGGUACGUAAAGCUCUAUCAGCAGGGAAGAUAAUGACGGUACCUGACCAAGAAGCCCCGGCUAACUACGUGCCAGCAGCCGCGGUAAUACGUAGGGGGCAAGCGUUAUCCGGAUUUACUGGGUGUAAAGGGAGCGUAGACGGCAGCACAAGUCUGGAGUGAAAUCCCGGGGCUUAACCCCGGAACUGCUUUGGAAACUGUGCAGCUAGAGUGCAGGAGAGGUAAGUGGAAUUCCUAGUGUAGCGGUGAAAUGCGUAGAUAUUAGGAGGAACACCAGUGGCGAAGGCGGCUUACUAAACUGUGACUGACAUUGAUGCUCGAAAGUGUGGGUAUCAAACAGGAUUAGAUACCCGUGUAGC